GCUCCGUUGCCGUGGUUGCAGGCCCGGCCCGCUCGCUUGCUCGCUGACAGCGAGGCUUGGGGCGGAGGGAAGUGGGUCCGUUGGCCCGAUCGGUAACGAGG
This 101-nucleotide microRNA precursor is filed under the name Oryctolagus cuniculus (rabbit). RNAcentral's name for it is "mir-658 microRNA precursor family". It matches the Rfam family "mir-658 microRNA precursor family". Lineage: Eukaryota; Metazoa; Chordata; Mammalia; Lagomorpha; Leporidae. The record is from Rfam by way of RNAcentral.